Molecule: long non-coding RNA, 274 nt
Filed under: Salmo trutta (river trout)
Lineage: Eukaryota; Metazoa; Chordata; Actinopteri; Salmoniformes; Salmonidae
Description: lncRNA (ENSSTUG00000024174.1)
Source: RNAcentral
UAAAGUAGAAUUCUGAACAGAUUUCUCCCCAACUCUUUCCCUGUGUCUCUCCCCAGUGUAGGCUGAACUGGGCCACAGCAUCCGAGCUGGGAGAACUGGGGGAAGAGACGGGAGAGGGCAGCUCCGCUGACUGGAGGAGUACCAGCUGGUCUCAAACAGGAUACACAUGGGUAUCCUCGAUGAAAGGUGGCUAUCGAGGAGGGGAGGACACUUCCAUUUGCCUGCUAAAUGAAUUGACACACUCCUCGACCACUCUACCAUUUAUCGGUUUCCG